This 440-nucleotide ribosomal RNA is filed under the name uncultured bacterium. RNAcentral describes it as "partial 16S ribosomal RNA". It matches the Rfam family "Bacterial small subunit ribosomal RNA", at positions 338 to 795 of the family's 1533-position model. The record is from RNAcentral.
CCUACGGGAGGCAGCAGUGGGGGAUAUUGCACAAUGGGGGAAACCCUGAUGCAGCGACGCCGCGUGAGUGAAGAAGUAUUUCGGUAUGUAAAGCUCUAUCAGCAGGGAAGACAAUGACAUUACCUGUCCAAGAAGCCCCGGCUAACUACGUGCCAGCAGCCGCGGUAAUACGGAGGGGGCAAGCGUUAUCCGGAUUUACGGGGUGUAAAGGGAGCGUAGACGGUCAUGUAAGUCUGGAGUGAAAGCCCGGGGCCCAACCCCGGGACUGCUUUGGCAACUGGGUGACUGGAGUACAGGAGAGGCAGGCAGAAUUCCAGGUGUAGCGGUGAAAUGCGUAGAGAUCUGGAGGAACACCGGCGGCGAAGGCGGCCGGCUGGACUGAAACUGACGUUGAGGCGCGAAAGCGUGGGGAGCAAACAGGAUUAGAUACCCUAGUAGUC